GCUUGACCAUUUUUCCUAAGGCGGGAGCGGGCUGCUGGGGCUUCUCUGUUGGAGGAAAGUGGCUGCAGUAUACUGUUACCGAGAUCAGAGUGAAGACACCUGGAGAGAAGUUGUCAUUGCUAAGAGUGUCUCUGGAAGACUCCUGGUCUGCGGUUAGUAUUCAGAUGCUCUCCAUGAAUACCCUUCCAUCCUAAGUAGCUUCUUACAAUUAGAACCAGAAGUAGAGUCAUAUUAUGGCCAAAUUAACUAAUGUCUGGAGAUGAUGAAAACCAUUCGGGGGGAAAAAAGGAAAUAAGAGGAUAGUAACAAAAAUGAGAUAAAAUUAUAUUUUUAAUCAAGUAAUCUCUAAGAAGCUUAGAAAACCUAAUUUUUUACUAUGUGCACAUCUGAAAAACUGUUUCAAAAAUGUAUUAAGGAGUGUCUGGUUAAUAUACAUUUCAGUUUUUUCAAUUAAGGAAAUAUGUAUUGUGGACAUAUAUUGCUUUGUCUUUUCCUGCUUUUAAGUACUAGAUCCACACCACUGAAUCACAGGAUGGUUAUAACUUCAUGUAGGCAUUUUACUAUUUUUUUGGCUGUAGCUACUGAUGUAGGGGUAAUUCAGGCUAACUAGCAUCCUUUCUCAGGAGUUUUCAAAUUAGAGCUUGCAGAAAAGAUCCAUUUUUUUUCUCUGAUUGCAAAGCUAUAAAAAUGUGAGCUCAAGAGUUCCCUCAUGGCUCAGUGAGUUAAGUAUCUGGCAUUGUCACUGCUGUAGCAUGAGUUCAAGCCCUGGCCCAGGAACUUCCAUAUGCCAAGGGUGCAGCCAAAAAAGAAAAAAAAAAUGUGACCUCAGAGGUGCUUGUGGUAAUGUGCCUUUUCAUUUAUAAUAUCUAGUCUGGAAAAAUAAGGCAGAUAUGGGGAAGGCAGGAGAGAGAACGUCCCUGAAGGACCUCUAUCCUUUUAUAAAAUAUGGAAUUCAAGUGUUGUGUUCAUUGGACUUCUCAAAGCUCUGUAACAUGACAUUUUGUUUAAACAUCAGAAGAUCAUAUUUAACAUCCAGGACAUCUUAGCCAGCUCUUCCAUAGCCAAAACUUUACUGGCCAUACAUCCCAAUCUUUCUAAGCCUCUGCUUUACCAAAAUCAGCAUUAGCUAGUUAACUACAGUUAGUGGUUUAACCAGUAGCCUCCUUAAUUUUUGCUGACUUAUUGUCAGCUUAGGCAAUUUCAUUACCUUUGUUUGUUAUUUCACUUUGAAACAUCCUAAUUUUCUUAUCUGUAAAAUUGAGGUGAGAAAUAAUACCUAUAAAUGCUGUCUUUUGAUAAUGCCCCAGAUAAAAGCAACUGUAAGGUCUUAUACUGUGUUAUUAUGGCCAUUAGUGUUGUUAUUAUGAUUACCAAUACUGCUGUCAUCAAUGAUAAUGUGAUGCUGUUAGAACCUAUAUGUUGUUUUUCUUGCUGUAGUGUGUAUUUUAUUAUAAUCCCAGUGAUGCAGGAGACUUUAGAUUCCAUCUGGUCCAGCCUCCCACUCACUAAAGAAUCAUCCCUGCCAGUGGCUGUCCACCCUUUGUUCAAAUAUAGUGACAGUGAUAGAAAACCUGAUGCUUUAUGGGGCAUUCUUUUCCUUUUUAAGACUUCUUUUAACUGUUAAGAAGUUUUCAUCACAAAGGGUUGAAAUCACCUCCUAGUAAUUUCUACACACUGGCCUUAUUUCUGUCCUUUGCAGCAAUAGAAAUCUAUUUUCUCUCUUCUAUAAUAUCUUUUGUGUUUUAAAGCUAGAAGUAUUCCGUACUCUCAACUUUUUGAAAGCCUAGUAUUAAACUAAUCCACUCAUUCAUUCAUUAACUAUUUUAUUAUGCAUCACUGUAUCCUACAAAGAUUUAAAGUAAAUUCUAAAAAAUAAAAUAGAACAAAAUGAAUUCUAACAUGUAAUAUAAAACAUGGUCAAAUAUAAGAAAAAGAAGCAGAGCUAUAGGAAAUUAAAUAUGAGUAGAAUGUAAAGAAUGAAAGCUAAAGAACAGAAAUAUGCAUGAGCCUUUGGUUUAAACUUGUUUGGCUCUGAUUUAAAAUCAAAAGGGAGGAAUUCCUGUUGUGGCGCAGUGGAAAUGAAUCCGAAUUGGGACUAGGAACCAUGAGGUUGUGGGUUUGAUCCUUGGCCUCACUCAGUGGGCUAAGGAUCUGCUGUUGCCGUGAGCUGUGGUGUAAGUCGCAGACCCAGCUCGGAUCUGGUGUUGCUGUGGCUUUGGUGUAGGCUGGCAGCUGUAGCCCCAAUUAGACCCCUAGCCUGGGAACCUCCAUAUGCUAUGGGACAAAAAAAGACAAAAAUAAAAAUUAAAAAAUAAAUAAAAUCAAAAGGGAAUAUGAUAUCUAAGUUAUCAGAAACAGGAGAACAUUUUUCUGUCAUCAAAUAAAAUGCUUUUUCCCCUAUGUCAGCCUCCACCUGAGGAGGCUCUUAUCUCUGUUCACUGACAAUAGGCUCAUCAACAUGUCCCUGGAAAAUGAAGUAACAGGCUUCAAAAAUCCAUGAAAUGAAUUCAGGACGCACUUUUGUUGUCAACCUCUGAAAAAAAUGUGAUGCCCAAAAAUAAAAACAGAUUUUUACAAUUAGCUUGAUUAUGGUUUGGAGAAAUUAUUUCCUCUCUUAUUUCAGACACUGUUGUUUUUAUCAGGACAGUUUAAGUAAAAUUGUUUUAACUUAUUGUGCAACUAUGUCACUUUGUUAGCCUAUAUAAGUUUAUGUUCAAAAUACUAAAUUUUGGGAUUUCCCAUUGUGGCUCAGUGGUAAUGAAUCCAACUAGUAUCCAUGAAGAUGCGGGUUCGAUCCCUGGCCUUGUUCAGUUGGUGAAGGAUCCAGUGUUGCUGUGAGCUGUGGUGUAGGUCACAAAUGUAGCUUGUAUCCUGUGUUGUUGUGGCUGUGGCAUAGGCUGGCAGCUGCAGUUCGGAUUCGACCCCUAGCCUGGGAACUUCCAUUUGCUGUAGGUGCAGCCCUAAGAAGCAAAAUAAAAAUCAAAAAAACCAACAAAAUACUAGAUUUUUUGUUUCAUCGUUUUGUUUGUAUGGAUUAAUAUUAAGCCAAGUUUCACAAAUUUUAAUGCUAUUAGUUUUUUUUAAAUCUUUCUAGGGCUGCAUCCUUGGUAUAUGGAAGUUCCCAGUUAGGGGUUGAAUUGGAGCUGUGGCUGUCAGCCUACACCAUAGCCACAGCAACACUGGAUCCUUAACCCACUGAGCGAGGCCAGGAAUCGAAUCUGAGUCCUUGUGGAUACUAAUUGGGUUUGUUACUGCUGAGCCAUGUCGGGAACUCCAAUGCCAUUAAUUUUUUGGGAUACAAAUGCUUAUAUUGUCUCAGAGCACUGGCAGCUUCAUAAUCUGUUUCCUUUAUUUCUUUAAAAUACCAUAUACCUAAUCUCUUAAGAGUUUAGUCUGUAUCUCAUGAUUCUUCCUCAAUUUUUAUAUUGCCAAAAUUAAUAGUAUCUUCUUUGUCUUCAGCUAAUCAUUGAGGAAAAUGUUGAUGAAGGCUAGAUUCAGCUCCAGCUAUAACUGAAGUUAACCCUAAUGGCAGCAUUAAAAUUGUUUGGAAGCCAAGUAGAGACCGUGUUUAAGGGCAACAUGGUACCAUAAAAGAGUAUCGCCUUUAGACUUAGACAGACUUAGGUUCAAGUACUGACUUCACCAUUUAUUUUAUGUGUGACCUUGAACAGUUAUUAACUACUUUUAAAACGCAAUUUCCUCAUCUGUAUGUAGUAGGGUGUCCUAGCUAAUCCCUAACUGGAUUGCUUUUGACAGGAUUAGUAAAAUUGCAACCUCUGUGGGCAUUGAUUUGCAUGAUUUUAUUUUCUGGCAAUAUUUUGUAAUCUGAGAGAAAGAAUGAAAGAAAGAGUUGAAUUUCUUGUGUUCAGAAGCAACAUGAUAUGAUAGAAUGGAUGUAGAAUUAUGGAAUUCUUGCUCUCAAGUAGCUCUGUUGCUGUGGGCAGGUCAGUUUACCUCUUAACCUUUCUUAAUCCCUAAAGAAAGGAAUUGGGAGUUCCCGUCGGGGCGCAACUGAAACGAAUCUGACUGGGAACCAUGAGGUUGUGGGUCCUAUCUCUGGCCUUGCUCAGUGCGUCAAGAAUCUGGCCUUGCUGUGAGCUGUACUGUAGGUUGUCGACGCAGCUGGGAUCCUGCGUUGCUGUGGCUCUGGCAUAGGCCGGCAGCUGUAACUCUCUUAGACCCCCUAGCCUGGGAAUCUCCACAUGCUGCGGGUGUGGCUCUAAAAAGCAAAAAAAGAAAAAAAAAAAAAAAAAAAAAAA
This 4259-nucleotide long non-coding RNA is filed under the name Sus scrofa (pig). Its description in RNAcentral is "lncRNA (ENSSSCG00045009347.1)". The record is from RNAcentral. Lineage: Eukaryota; Metazoa; Chordata; Mammalia; Artiodactyla; Suidae.